GUCUGGGCUGUGUGCCAGCACUCACAAUGAUAAGAGUCCUGGGCUUGGCCAACCCAGCUGCUUUCUUGUGGGAGAGUUAGCACCAAGACCCUCAUGGUCUGAGGGAACACAGAGGCUCUUGGGGGGUGGGGGUCAGGGGUUCUGGUCCUUGGAAUGCUGGUCAUAAAGGAAUGAUCUCCCUUGGCAAGUAUGCAGCCUUUGUUUCUCUGCCUGCUUAAGUCAAGCUUCUUUCUGUGAGGUAGCGGAUGCACAUUGCUGCCUAGCCCGCCGCCAUGGGACCUUCCCUCUUUCCUGCAGAGGUUCACCCAGGACCACUCCAUGACAAUUCAGGCUGCCUGGCUCCUUUGGCUGGACAGUGACUUCUGAACCAGGAUAAGAUUGCAUCUCUGAGUCCAUUCAAACAGUCAAGGGUAAAGGAGAAAUAAAGCACUUGGUCAGAUUGUCAGAAGCAAGCUGACAUUGAUAAAGAAGUUCGCGGAGUUUGUCUGUGGCGGUGCUUUUGACUCCAGUGCUAAAGGAUUGUCAACAAGGAUUAAUAUUCAUGGAAAACAAGAACUGCCGUGUAAUGCAGGUAGGCUCACUCACAGUGGCAUCCUCGCAGUCACCUGUGUGCUAGUGAGUGACCUGGGAUUUUUCUCCUCUUCCACCAAGUCAACUUUAGCCCAACAACCUCAAAACGAAUGAGCAACCACUGAUUUUCCAUGUUAAGUAUGCCUUAGCUAUCAUUAUAGCAUUAUUUGACUCUUAAUUACAAUCCGUGAUGUCAGAAAAAUACCUCACGUUACCUCCUUCUCUACUCUGGCAUUUGAAAACCUCAGAACUGUAAUUAAAAUGCAAAAAGAAAAAAAGUGUUACCAUAACAUAAAAGCCUUCACAGUUCAGGCAAUAUUUCCUCGUCUUCUAUUCAUUUUUCCCAAUUUUCUCUGCAUGAAUCGAUGUUGUCAAUAUAGUUUCAAUUAUGUUAAAUACAAGCAAUAAAUGGUGUCUACGCAGGUGUUUGUCCAAGCAAUAUUAUAUAACUAAGAAAGCUUCUUAUUUUAUUCUAUUUUAUUUAUUCUACUCUUAUUUAGUGGAAUUAUUCUUUUUCCUUCUCAGCCCUGUGCCUCAUGGUAUGGAGGACAGAACACCUACUCUUCCAUGCUGCCCUACAUGUUUGAAAAUGAAGAUGAUGACUCUGUGUGUGUGUGUGUGUGUGUGUGUGUGUGUGUGUGUGUGUGUGUUGUGGGGAGGGAUAUUUGUCUUCAGGCCACUGUGGCUCACUGAUAAAGUGUCAGCAGCUAAAUUUUCAAGUAUCCUUCCUAUUUUCAGAGUGAAGACAAUGAUCUCAGCAUGGUGCCCUAACUCUGCUCCCAAAGUCUCCUUAGAAGUGAGCCCAGAGAUGGUGGGAGACUUACCUUUUGUCCACUCGUCAGCCAUUCUUCUCUCUUUCCCAAACAGUGUGUUUGAAACUGUGUCCUAAUUACAGUUUGAUAAGUAUUCAUUGAUUUGUUGAUUGCUUCUUUCUUUAUUUUGUAUAUAGAUUCAUUCAUUCCUUUGUAUGAAAUUAGUUAAUUCAUAAACUUGGUUAAUAUUUAUUACUUUUUUAAUAUGACACAGGCACUAAAAUAAGUAAAAGCAUCUCAAAAAUGAAAACAAAAAUAAGUCUCUGUCCUUCAAGAUCUUCCAGUGAGGGAUAAAUACAGGUUGGCUCAAUUUUUUAAAUAUUUGCAAUACGAAAAUACCAAAUAUGAUUAGAGAGGUAUACACAGAGUGCAAGGAGCACAGAGAGGGGGCCCAGAGGAGUGGGUGAAGUAUUGUUUAACUGAAUCUUAAAGGCCGAGGUAACA
RNAcentral lists this long non-coding RNA (1826 nucleotides) under Equus asinus (donkey). RNAcentral describes it as "lncRNA (ENSEASG00005034490.1)". Lineage: Eukaryota; Metazoa; Chordata; Mammalia; Perissodactyla; Equidae. The record is from RNAcentral.